Molecule: ribosomal RNA, 450 nt
Filed under: uncultured Glomeromycotina
Lineage: Eukaryota; Fungi; Glomeromycota
Description: SSU rRNA
Rfam family: Eukaryotic small subunit ribosomal RNA
Source: RNAcentral
AGCAGCCGCGGUAAUUCCAGCUCCAAUAGCGUAUAUUAAAGUUGUUGCAGUUAAAAAAGCUCGUAGUUGAAUUUCGGGAUCAAUAUGUCUGUCGUGCCUUCGGUACGUACGGGUAUAAUUGGUUUCUACCUUCUGAUGAACCUUGAUGCCAUUAAUUUGGUGUCUUGGGGACUCAGGACUGUUACCUUGAAAAAAAUUAGAGUGUUUAAAGCAGGCAUACGCUUGAAUACAUUAGCAUGGAAUAAUGAAAUAGGACGUUCGAUUCUAUUUUGUUGGUUUUCUAGGAUCGACGUAAUGAUUAAUAGGGAUAGUUGGGGGCAUUAGUAUUCAAUUGUCAGAGGUGAAAUUCUUGGAUUUAUUGAAGACUAACUACUGCGAAAGCAUUUGCCAAGGAUGUUUUCAUUAAUCAAGAACGAAAGUUAGGGGAUCGAAGACGAUCAGAUACCGUCG